Molecule: ribosomal RNA, 869 nt
Filed under: uncultured bacterium
Lineage: Bacteria
Description: bacterial SSU rRNA
Rfam family: Bacterial small subunit ribosomal RNA
Source: RNAcentral
GAACGGGUGAGUAACACGUGGGUGAUCUGCCCUGCACUUUGGGAUAAGCCUGGGAAACUGGGUCUAAUACCGAAUAGGACCACGCGCUUCAUGGUGUGUGGUGGAAAGCUUUUGCGGUGUGGGAUGGGCCCGCGGCCUAUCAGCUUGUUGGUGGGGUAAUGGCCUACCAAGGCGACGACGGGUAGCCGGCCUGAGAGGGUGACCGGCCACACUGGGACUGAGAUACGGCCCAGACUCCUACGGGAGGCAGCAGUGGGGAAUAUUGCACAAUGGGCGCAAGCCUGAUGCAGCGACGCCGCGUGAGGGAUGACGGCCUUCGGGUUGUAAACCUCUUUCAAUAGGGACGAAGCGCAAGUGACGGUACCUAUAGAAGAAGCACCGGCCAACUACGUGCCAGCAGCCGCGGUAAUACGUAGGGUGCGAGCGUUGUCCGGAAUUACUGGGCGUAAAGAGCUCGUAGGUGGUUUGUCGCGUUGUUCGUGAAAACUCACAGCUUAACUGUGGGCGUGCGGGCGAUACGGGCAGACUAGAGUACUGCAGGGGAGACUGGAAUUCCUGGUGUAGCGGUGGAAUGCGCAGAUAUCAGGAGGAACACCGGUGGCGAAGGCGGGUCUCUGGGCAGUAACUGACGCUGAGGAGCGAAAGCGUGGGGAGCGAACAGGAUUAGAUACCCUGGUAGUCCACGCCGUAAACGGUGGGUACUAGGUGUGGGUUCCUUCCUUGGGAUCCGUGCCGUAGCUAACGCAUUAAGUACCCCGCCUGGGGAGUACGGCCGCAAGGCUAAAACUCAAAGGAAUUGACGGGGGCCCGCACAAGCGGCGGAGCAUGUGGAUUAAUUCGAUGNCACGCGAAGAACCUUACCUGGGUUU